CAAACGAGCUUUUCUAAAAGCCACAGCACAUAUUGUACAACUACUUUU
Molecule: non-coding RNA, 48 nt
Organism: Oryza meridionalis
Lineage: Eukaryota; Viridiplantae; Streptophyta; Magnoliopsida; Poales; Poaceae
Source: Rfam